ACUCCUACGGGAGGCAGCAGUAGGGAAUCUUCCGCAAUGGGCGAAAGCCUGACGGAGCAACGCCGCGUGAGUGAUGAAGGGUUUCGGCUCGUAAAACUCUGUUAUUAGGGAAGAACAAACGUGUAAGUAACUGUGCACGUCUUGACGGUACCUAAUCAGAAAGCCACGGCUAACUACGUGCCAGCAGCCGCGGUAAUACGUAGGUGGCAAGCGUUAUCCGGAAUUAUUGGGCGUAAAGCGCGCGUAGGCGGUUUCUUAAGUCUGAUGUGAAAGCCCACGGCUCAACCGUGGAGGGUCAUUGGAAACUGGGAGACUUGAGUGCAGAAGAGGAAAGUGGAAUUCCAUGUGUAGCGGUGAAAUGCGCAGAGAUAUGGAGGAACACCAGUGGCGAAGGCGACUUUCUGGUCUGUAACUGACGCUGAUGUGCGAAAGCGUGGGGAUCAAACAGGAUUAGAUACCCUGGUAGUCCACGCCGUAAACGAUGAGUGCUAAGUGUUAGGGGGUUUCCGCCCCUUAGUGCUGCAGCUAACGCAUUAAGCACUCCGCCUGGGGAGUACGACCGCAAGGUUGAAACUCAAAGGAAUUGACGG
This 590-nucleotide ribosomal RNA is filed under the name uncultured bacterium. RNAcentral's name for it is "bacterial SSU rRNA". It matches the Rfam family "Bacterial small subunit ribosomal RNA", at positions 335 to 916 of the family's 1533-position model. The record is from RNAcentral.